RNAcentral lists this ribosomal RNA (377 nucleotides) under uncultured bacterium. RNAcentral's name for it is "bacterial SSU rRNA". It matches the Rfam family "Bacterial small subunit ribosomal RNA", at positions 362 to 757 of the family's 1533-position model. The record is from RNAcentral.
UAUUGGACAAUGGGCGAGAGCCUGAUCCAGCAAUGCCGCGUGAGUGAUGAAGGCCUUAGGGUUGUAAAGCUCUUUUACCCGGGAUGAUAAUGACAGUACCGGGAGAAUAAGCUCCGGCUAACUCCGUGCCAGCAGCCGCGGUAAUACGGAGGGAGCUAGCGUUGUUCGGAAUUACUGGGCGUAAAGCGCGCGUAGGCGGUUUUUUAAGUCAGAGGUGAAAGCCCAGUGCUCAACACUGGAACUGCCUUUGAAACUGGAAAACUUGAAUCUUGGAGAGGUCAGUGGAAUUCCGAGUGUAGAGGUGAAAUUCGUAGAUAUUCGGAAGAACACCAGUGGCGAAGGCGACUGACUGACAAGUAUUGACGCUGAGGUGCGAA